Molecule: RNA transcript, 6131 nt
Organism: Pan troglodytes (chimpanzee)
Lineage: Eukaryota; Metazoa; Chordata; Mammalia; Primates; Hominidae
Gene: ZIC3
Gene name: Zic family zinc finger 3
Exons: 7
Source: RefSeq, a predicted model, not a curated record
GAAAUGGCCUGCCUCUGACCUGCUGUUCACAAAGCCCCCAGCCUCGUCCUUUUGCGCGCAUCUGGGACCCCUGCGUCCCACAGAACAACGACACCCCCUCAGAACCGCACUCUCAGGAUGGGCCCGGCUGUCCCGUGAAGGCCUCCAUUGCCCGGGAUUUUGGCCUGGCUGAAUCGCCUCAGGGACUACAGAGCACGUGCUGGAGGCAAUUAAUUAUCGGAAUGUGGCCGUAUCAAAACGGACACUGGGCACCGGCUGCCGACAGGUUGGGAGCACAAACGGCGAACUAUCCCGGCCUGGGUCCCGGCCUCGAGGCCAUCACAACUCGCAGUGAUUGGAGGUGGACGCAGCGGCUGGACCGGGAGCGCGAAACUGCUGCGCUCUCCCCAGGAUCUGCGCCCUGCAGCUACAGAGGGGACAUGUUCUCAAGGAGACUCUUGCAGUGACGGAAAGUUGCAGCCCCUGGUAGCGCCUUGGGGGUCUCUCCGCAGUGUCCAACCGCCGCCACCCCUUUCCGACUACGGCACUUCGGAGAUCUCCUCCUUCGCCGGUACCCUCUCUCACUUCGGCCGGAUCGCCUGUGCCCAGAACGUCCCACCCAUGACGAUGCUCCUGGACGGAGGCCCGCAGUUCCCUGGGCUGGGAGUGGGCAGCUUCGGCGCGCCGCGCCACCACGAGAUGCCCAACCGUGAGCCGGCAGGCAUGGGGCUGAAUCCCUUCGGGGACUCAACCCACGCCGCCGCCGCCGCCGCCGCCGCUGCCUUCAAGCUGAGCCCUGCCGCGGCGCACGAUCUAUCUUCAGGCCAGAGCUCGGCUUUCACGCCGCAGGGUUCGGGCUACGCCAACGCCCUGGGCCACCAUCACCACCACCAUCACCAUCAUCACCACACCAGCCAGGUGCCCAGCUACGGUGGCGCUGCCUCUGCCGCCUUCAACUCAACGCGCGACUUUCUGUUCCGCCAGCGCAGCUCCGGGCUCAGUGAGGCGGCCUCGGGUGGCGGGCAGCACGGGCUCUUCGCCGGCUCGGCGAGCAGCCUGCAUGCUCCAGCUGGCAUCCCCGAGCCCCCUAGCUACUUGCUGUUUCCCGGGCUGCAUGAGCAGGGCGCUGGGCACCCGUCGCCCACAGGGCACGUGGACAACAACCAGGUCCACCUGGGGCUGCGUGGGGAGCUGUUCGGCCGUGCUGACCCAUACCGCCCAGUGGCCAGCCCGCGCACGGACCCCUACGCGGCCGGCGCUCAGUUUCCUAACUACAGCCCCAUGAACAUGAACAUGGGCGUGAACGUGGCGGCCCACCACGGGCCCGGCGCCUUCUUCCGUUACAUGCGGCAGCCCAUCAAGCAGGAGCUGUCGUGCAAGUGGAUCGACGAGGCUCAGCUGAGCCGGCCCAAGAAGAGCUGCGACCGGACCUUCAGCACCAUGCAUGAGCUGGUGACACAUGUCACCAUGGAGCAUGUGGGGGGCCCGGAGCAGAACAACCACGUCUGCUACUGGGAGGAGUGCCCCCGGGAGGGCAAGUCUUUCAAGGCGAAGUACAAACUGGUCAACCACAUCCGAGUGCACACGGGCGAGAAGCCCUUCCCAUGCCCCUUCCCGGGCUGCGGGAAGAUCUUUGCCCGUUCUGAGAACCUCAAGAUCCACAAGAGGACCCACACAGGUGAGAAACCUUUCAAAUGUGAAUUUGAAGGCUGUGACAGACGCUUUGCCAACAGCAGCGACCGUAAGAAGCACAUGCAUGUGCAUACCUCGGACAAGCCCUAUAUCUGCAAAGUGUGCGACAAGUCCUACACGCACCCGAGCUCCCUGCGCAAACACAUGAAGGUUCAUGAAUCUCAAGGGUCAGAUUCCUCCCCUGCUGCCAGUUCAGGCUAUGAAUCUUCCACUCCACCCGCUAUAGCUUCUGCAAACAGUAAAGAUACCACUAAAACCCCUUCUGCAGUUCAAACUAGCACCAGCCACAACCCUGGACUUCCUCCUAAUUUUAACGAAUGGUACGUCUGAGGACAAACACAAACCCUGUUAACUAUAGAAUGGACCAAAUGCAUUUUUAAAAGAAAACUGAGACCAAUCAGAUGGAAAUGGAGUUUUAAGGCAAGAGGCCAUAUAUAGGGCUACAUCUUGUUAAUUGCAAUUUUCCAGGAAGGUUUUGGGCAAGAUCCAAAAGUAGCCAUGCCCUUUUCUCAGGAUAGAAAAUAUGUUUUGGCAUUUGAAGCAUUUUUUACAAAAUCUUUACACUACUUUUUCUUCCCCUUCCUCUUGCUCUCUGCACACCCCAUUCUUAAACUCCUCCAAUUCAUUUUAACACUUGUCCUAUUUCUUGAGAGGAAGUUAUAGAAGGCUUGUUGGUGGUGGUGAUGUUAAACUGAUGGAAAUUCUUUUUCGCCUUAGUGGUGAUUGUUUAAACUCUCACAGUCUUAAACCGUGCCAAAGUCCUGUUAUGUCUUGAACUUUUCCUCAAAGCAUUACACUUGUGAAUGUAUUUUUGUCUAAUAGGGUCGAAACUGUUGUUCAGUAUUUUUUCAGGCUGAGGAUGUGAUGUUACUCUACACAUUGUGACGUUUAGUAUACAGUUGCCUUUUGUAAUAACUUUUUUUUUUGUAAAUACAUAUCCAUUGAUGCCAUAUUUAUCGUUUGUAAUUUAAUUAUUGCUACAAGUGCCGGGAACUGAACAAUAUUUAUGGAUAAAUGUUUUCUAACAAAUUCUGUACAGCUUUUGAUUAUAACUGCUUUAGCAUUAAAAAUUUAUUGUUUUGAAAGAAGAACACAAUUUACAAUUUUGGAACCACUGACUCCUUUCUCUUGUUUUGUAACAGCCUUCUUCUACAAAGAGGAGAUGUGAGCAAAUUAAAUCUUGUUUGUUGGUAUUUAUAACUCACUCAGAUCCCUUUUUUAAUUGUUAAAUUAUUUUUCUAUUACAGUAUAAAUUCCUUACAGUGUCAGUUUCCAUCUGGGAAGACUCUCCUUUCUUUAUCUCUAUCUCAGAUGGUUGUUUAACUGCGAGUUUAAAUGUGUUUGUCCUGGAUUUUCGGCAUGCAAAUCAAAUAUUACUGAUCAAUUCAGUUAGUGGCCAUGACAUCUCAAUCUUGUACUUCAAAGACUGAGAAGCUGGAUUUAAUCAUCCCUGCCCUACAUAUAUAAACAUAAGGUAACCUACUGAAUUUUAUGUCCCUUAGUUCUUUAUUACCUUACAUAAAAAUGAAAAUUGCGGCAGGAUGCAUGUCUGUCUGUUCUAUCUAGAGAUCACCCAUAUACCUAUAUAUGUUUGUAUCUAUGACUUAUCUAAUCUGCCUAUCAAUCUAUCUAGUAGCUAUCUAUAUAUUUUCAAAAGAUAGCUUAUGUCUAAAACAGUGGUGAUGAGUAAGGCCAGUUGAGCAUUGCUUACUUAUGGUUAAAGUGCUUCUUAAAAGAACCAUAGUCCAUUUACAAUUUUGGAAGGCAAAGGCUGAUUUGUUUGCUGUAUAUAGUUCAAUUCAUAAUUAUCGCAAUUAUCCAUAACAUUUAUAUAGCGGUGUAAUAACUGCAGCAGUUCUGAAAUGAUGCUAUGGGAAAAAAAUUGCAAAAUAUGUAUUUUUAAAGUUCAUGAUUUGUAGGCAAAGAUGUUAAGAGCAUUGUUUCCAUUAAAAUCAAUAACAAUGAAAAACGGUUGUUUGCUUUGUGAUAAAAUGUUAACAAUCCAUUUAAUCUUCAGUGAAGCAACUCAUUUGGACAAACAGUUCUUUUACAAUGGUUAUAUGGAAAAGAAAUUGAUUGCUAUUUUGGGGGGCUGGAGUGGGUAGAGUAUUGAGACCUUUUUUAUUAGGGUGCUGUUUGUUAUUGAGAGCCCAAUCUCUGCAUGAAUAACAGAAAGGUGGACAUAAGGAAUUGUAAAGUAUUUAGAAUGUAUUGAAUAGGCUUAAGUACCUCCUUUAAGGGGCAAUGCUCUAGGUUUUUGGUGGCAGUCAAUUUGGUAUUAUAUAUGAUCAUUUUCAAUUCUAGAAUUUUGUUUAUUGUUCUUUUUGAAGAAAUAAAGUCUUGGCACAUCUUAUUUAUGUUAUAACAUUUUUGUAUUUGGUGCCUGAUUUUUUUUCAUGUUCAAAUAAAUCAAUCUAAAAUUGAAAUGCUUACAGAACUUCUGAUGAUUAAAAGAAACUUUGAUUCUGUGAAUGCAGUUGAAGCAGUCUAUUUAAGUUAUCUACUGAUCUUUGUCAACAGACAAUUAGUUAUUGACAGUUUCUAAUUGCAAAUUGCUUUGGAGGCUAUUUUUUGUUAGUGGAGAAUAAUGGGGUCUUUUGCAUUUUCUUCCACCAAUAUCCAAGCCUGAAUGCCAUGAACAGAGAUUGGGAUGACUACACAUGUGAUGAGCAGGUAACCUGGUCAGUCUAUCACUCCCAACCCAGACAUUCCGAUCUUGACCUUGACAUUGAGGGUGCUGGACCAGAUUCCUAUUUCAGGCUUUUUCCUUCACCUCAAACCAGAGACCAUUUUAAAUGCUCAGCAAGUUCUCAGAAAGUAUAUAUUCAUAAGACUGGCUCUAAGUGUGUUCCAUUGUGAAAUCUAAAUAGUGUAUUUUUCUUCUGAACUGUACAAUGAACUUCCAUAAUUUACCACUUUCUCCACGAGUUCCCUCCCCCACCCUCAAUCUAACCUAACUUUACAUGGAAGUAGAGCCAUGGGUUGGAUACAGGAUUCAACCAAAAACAUGCCUCCCUUUCAAUUAAAUGUAUUAAAUAUCUCCUCAUGAGACAAAGAGCAGUUUGAUCUUUUCUUAGUUACCUGAAAUUAUUCUACCGUAAAAUUUUACAGGAAAGUACUUGAGGGUCCUAAGAGGGGAAGAUAUCAAUUAAAUGAAAAACAAUUAUGAUAACCAAUAUUAGGAGAAUAUAAAAGUUUUGCCCCUGUACAUGAUUACCUCUAAUUUGGGUGUAGCAUGGUAUUUCUCAAAAUCAUGUCCUCCACCCUUGUCAUCUGUGGUAAAGAAAACUCCUUAUUUUGAUAGAAAGCUUUUCACAGAUUUCCCCCCUAUAAUCUGGCUCUGGGAGUGCACAUUUACACUCUUGAAUAUUCAGUAAACAACCUUAGAGAGUAAGUACCCCCCACAAAAAAAAAAAAAAAAAAUCAUCAAUGCUCAAGCCCGAGGCAUGGGCCAGGCUCUUAGUAAUCAACUUGUUACUUUCCCUCUUGCACCUUGUAAGAUCUUUGUUCAAAGUCCCUUUUUCAAAAUGAGUGAUUUUGCAUAAGAUUCCCACUGUUAGGCAAAAGGGAGGUGGCUAUUUCCACGCAAGACAGAAGUUUGGCCUUCAUCCAGCUUUAGAAGGUUAAAGAUCAGGACAGGGUCCACGCUAAGCAGGCCGGUCGAUCUAAAUUACUAAAGUUGGACAUGAGUGAGCAAAGACCUCCGCUCACAAAGCAUCCCAGGAAAGUUGGAGUGUUCAGGACUUCCUCGCUCCUCCCCCUUCUCCCUUCUCCCCGCCUGAUGUCUCUGCCUCUUCGCCCUGGCUCUCUCUCCCCCUUCUUAAAAAAACUCCCUAAAACAGAGGAGCAAAGUCGAAGGGCCUCUUAACAUGUAAGUUUGUGGAAGAAUCGCCAGCAGCGUGCCCAUCGCCUGAAAAGAGAGGUUAUCUUGGCACCUAGACUGCUUUCCUCUCACAGGUUUCUGUCCCUCGAGUCCCAAGCCUCCAGUGGAUCCUUGGCCGGGGCCGGGGCGGAGGCGGCGAGGCCAGGCGUUUCGGAAGUCGGGGCUCCAGCUCAGCUGUCCUCGGGCCCCUCGUCGGGGCUCCCAGGGUCCCUGUCCACACACCAAGUUCUUGCAAGUCUCUGUCGAGGCUCGGGCGGGGGGGGGGAAGGGACCUCAUUUCCUAGGGUCAAUUCUCUCGCGGUCUCUGCCCGCUGACCCUUUGACCUCCACCUACAGGGCCCUUGGCGGCCGUAAGCCGGCGGUCGCCCGGGCUCCGAGGACGCUUCGCGCCCCAUCGCCUCCCGGCCUCAUUAGGCCGGCGGGGCUGUAAAGCAGGAAUCAGCCUCUGCCUAAUCCGGACCUGGGGUCAAUACGAGCCCAAACAAUGUGUUGUCCUGCUUGGUAUCCGGGACAGUCUCUAAUUCCUGACGAAGAACUUGAUACUGACGUUGGUAUGCAGCAGCCAGCCCUCCAUAAC